RNAcentral lists this transfer RNA (81 nucleotides) under Planosporangium mesophilum. RNAcentral describes it as "tRNA-Pro". Lineage: Bacteria; Bacillati; Actinomycetota; Actinomycetes; Micromonosporales; Micromonosporaceae. The record is from RNAcentral.
CAGCUCGUGCGGCGUGGACUUGAAACUCCCGGCGAUCGGGGCGCCGAACAGCUUGGCGUGCGAGGCGCUGUCGAACUGGCC